Molecule: non-coding RNA, 75 nt
Organism: Corynebacterium variabile DSM 44702
Lineage: Bacteria; Bacillati; Actinomycetota; Actinomycetes; Mycobacteriales; Corynebacteriaceae
Source: Rfam
ACCCAGGCACGACCUACGGUACGGACGGAUCACCGUCCCGCCUGCGGGACCGACCUGGUGCCCGACCCUGAGGGA